GAUGAACGCUGGCGGCGUGCCUAAUACAUGCAAGUCGAGCGAACGGACGCGAAGCUUUCUUCUCUGAUGUUAACGGCGUACGUGUUAGUAACACGUGUAUAACCUACCUAUAAGACUGGGAUAGCUUCGGGAACCCGUAGCUCAUACCGUAUAAUAUUUUGAACCGCAUGGUUCGCAAGUGAAAUUCGGUCUUGCUGUCACUUAUGGCUGGAUUCGCGCUGCAUUAGCUAGUUGGUAAGGUAACGGCUUACCAAGGCAACGAUGCAUAGCCGACCUGAGAGGGGGAUCGGCCACACUGGGACUGAGACACGGCCCAGACUCCUACGGGAGGCAGCAGUAGGGAAUCUUGCGCAAUGGGCGAAAGCCUGACGGAGCAACGCCGCGUGAGGGAUGAAGGUCUUCGGAUCGUAAAACGCUGUUAUUAGGGAAGAAAAGAUGUGUAAGUAAAUGUGCACAUAUUGACGGUACCUAAUGAGAAAGCCACGGCUAACUACGUG
This 497-nucleotide ribosomal RNA is filed under the name uncultured bacterium. Its description in RNAcentral is "partial 16S ribosomal RNA". It matches the Rfam family "Bacterial small subunit ribosomal RNA", at positions 28 to 507 of the family's 1533-position model. The record is from RNAcentral.